This 487-nucleotide ribosomal RNA is filed under the name uncultured bacterium. Its description in RNAcentral is "bacterial SSU rRNA". It matches the Rfam family "Bacterial small subunit ribosomal RNA", at positions 29 to 510 of the family's 1533-position model. The record is from RNAcentral.
AUUGAACGCUGGCGGCAUGCCUUACACAUGCAAGUCGAACGGCAGCACGGGGGCAACCCUGGUGGCGAGUGGCGAACGGGUGAGUAAUACAUCGGAACGUGCCCCGUAGCGGGGGACAACCAGUCGAAAGACUGGCUAAUACCGCAUACGCUCCACGGAGGAAAGCAGGGGAUCGCAAGACCUUGCACUAUGGGAGCGGCCGAUGCCCGAUUAGCUAGUUGGUGAGGUAAAGGCUCACCAAGGCAACGAUCGGUAGCUGGUCUGAGAGGACGACCAGCCACACUGGGACUGAGACACGGCCCAGACUCCUACGGGAGGCAGCAGUGGGGAAUAUUGGACAAUGGGCGCAAGCCUGAUCCAGCGAUGCCGCGUGUGUGAAGAAGGCCUGCGGGUUGUAAAGCACUUUCAGUAGGGAAGAAAGACCGAGUGCUAAUAUCACUCGGUCUUGACGUUACUUACAGAAGAAGCACCGGCUAACUCCGUGCCA